UUUUGGACAAUGGGCGCAAGCCUGAUCCAGCAAUGCCGCGUGCAGGAAGAAGGCCUUCGGGUUGUAAACUGCUUUUGUACGGAACGAAAAGGUCCUGGCUAAUACCUGGGGCUAAUUACGGUACCGUAAGAAUAAGCACCGGCUAACUACGUGCCAGCAGCCGCGGUAAUACGUAGGGUGCGAGCGUUAAUCGGAAUUACUGGGCGUAAAGCGUGCGCAGGCGGUGCUGUAAGACAGGCGUGAAAUCCCCGGGCUUAACCUGGGAAUUGCGCUUGUGACUGCAGCGCUAGAGUGCGGCAGAGGGGGAUGGAAUUCCGCGUGUAGCAGUGAAAUGCGUAGAUAUGCGGAGGAACACCGAUGGCGAAGGCAGUCCCCUGGGCCUGCACUGACGCUCAUGCACGAAAGCGUGGGGAGCAAACAGG
This 422-nucleotide ribosomal RNA is filed under the name uncultured bacterium. RNAcentral describes it as "bacterial SSU rRNA". It matches the Rfam family "Bacterial small subunit ribosomal RNA", at positions 362 to 776 of the family's 1533-position model. The record is from RNAcentral.